RNAcentral lists this ribosomal RNA (360 nucleotides) under Olea europaea subsp. europaea. Its description in RNAcentral is "LSU_rRNA_eukarya". It matches the Rfam family "Eukaryotic large subunit ribosomal RNA", at positions 1541 to 1884 of the family's 3401-position model. Lineage: Eukaryota; Viridiplantae; Streptophyta; Magnoliopsida; Lamiales; Oleaceae. The record is from RNAcentral.
GAUGGUUAGCAACGGUGGCAUUACAGUUAAUGGGUUGUGACUUAUAAUGAAUCUUGAACCGCUUAAAAUCGGGUUUCAGAUUGGGUCAUGAGUAUCAGUGUCCCGACGCGACGGUUGACGACAACGUUAGGGAGUCCGGAGACCUCGACGGGGGCCUCGGAAAGAGUUAUCUUUUCUGUUUAACAGCUUGCCCACCUUGGAAACGGCUCAGCCAGAGGUAGAUCCAUUGGCUGGAAGAGCACCGCACGUCUCAUGGUGUCCGGUGCGCCCCCGGCAGCCUUUGAAAAUUCGGAGGACCGAGUACCGUCCACGCUCGAUCGUACUCAUAAUCGCAUCAGGUCUUCAAGGUGAACAACCUCU